Molecule: ribosomal RNA, 1423 nt
Filed under: metagenome
Description: bacterial SSU rRNA
Rfam family: Bacterial small subunit ribosomal RNA
Source: RNAcentral
ACGGGUGAGUAACGCGUGAGUAACCUGCCCUUGAAUCUGGGAUAACUUCGCGAAAGCGUUGCUAAUACCGGAUACGGUUCAAUGAACCUCGGUUUAGAGAAUUAAAGAUGACCUAUCCAUGGAAGUUGUCGUUUGAGGAGGGGCUCGCGUCCCAUUAGCUUGUUGGUGGGGUAAUGGCCUACCAAGGCCGCGAUGGGUAGCUGGUCUGAGAGGAUGAUCAGCCACACUGGAACUGAAACACGGUCCAGACUCCUACGGGAGGCAGCAGUGAGGAAUUUUGCGCAAUGGGGGAAACCCUGACGCAGCAACGCCGCGUGAGUGAAGAAGGCCUUAGGGUCGUAAAGCUCUGUCAAGUGGGAAAAACGUCACAUAGUCAAUAGCUGUGUGAUUUGAUGGUACCACUAGAGGAAGCACCGGCUAACUCCGUGCCAGCAGCCGCGGUAAUACGGAGGGUGCUAGCGUUGUUCGGAAUUACUGGGCGUAAAGAGCGUGUAGGCGGUUUGGCAAGUCAGAUGUGAAAGCCCUGGGCUCAACCCAGGAAGUGCAUUUGAAACUGCCUUUCUAGAGUAUGGGAGAGGAGAGUGGAAUUCCCAGUGUAGAGGUGAAAUUCGUAGAUAUUGGGAGGAACACCCGUGGCGAAGGCGACUCUCUGGACCAAUACUGACGCUGAGACGCGAAAGCGUGGGGACAAACAGGAUUAGAUACCCUGGUAGUCCACGCCGUAAACGAUGAGCACUAGGUGUAGCGGGUAUUGACCCCUGCUGUGCCGUAGCUAACGCAUUAAGUGCUCCGCCUGGGGAGUACGGCCGCAAGGCUAAAACUCAAAGGAAUUGACGGGGGCCCGCACAAGCGGUGGAGCAUGUGGUUUAAUUCGACGCAACGCGAAGAACCUUACCUGGGCUUGACAUCCUUUGACCACCCCGGAAACGGGGUUUACCCUGCUUGCAGGGACAGAUUGACAGGUGCUGCAUGGCUGUCGUCAGCUCGUGUCGUGAGAUGUUGGGUUAAGUCCCGCAACGAGCGCAACCCUUGUUUUUAGUUGCCAGUAUUAAGUUAGGCACUCUAAAGAUACUGCCUCGGUUAACGAGGAGGAAGGUGGGGAUGACGUCAAGUCCUCAUGGCCUUUAUGCCCAGGGCUACACACGUGCUACAAUGGACGGUACAAAGGGUCGCUAACCCGCGAGGGUACGCUAAUCCCAAAAAGCCGUUCUCAGUUCGGAUUGGAGUCUGCAACUCGACUCCAUGAAGUUGGAAUCGCUAGUAAUCGUGGAUCAGCAUGCCACGGUGAAUACGUUCCCGGGCCUUGUACACACCGCCCGUCACACCACGAAAGUUGGCUGUACCAGAAGUUGCUGGGCUAACCCUUCGGGGAGGCAGGUACCUAAGGUACGGUUGAUAAUUGGGGUGAAGUCGUAACAAGGUA